CGCGCCGCGCCGCCUCGACCUUUUGUGCAGCGCCCUGCCCGGCUGUCAGCGCGGGGGGCGGAGACAGGCAACGCCAGUAAACUCAGACUGAGCCUUUGCUCUGUGUUUGAAGAACAGCGUUCCACCAGCACAACAGUGAGCGGCCUGUCAGAGCAGCGGCAAAUUUUACUGCCAGCCAAGUGAGGGUCACUGCGGCCUUUCAUCCUAUGGCUCCUGUGCAGAGUGGUUGUUGGACAGUUAGCGAAACACACCUUGAGCAGUAGUGUUGGGCUCUCCUCAUGCAGGCCAAAGUGUUCCAGGUCUGAUGGAUCUCAAUGUCAGCUGGUGUGUUCAGUGUGGAGUCAACCACUGGACUGUUCCCAAGGGCCUCAUUGCAUCCUUGCUCCACCAGAGCUUUCUUCUCCUCUACUUCUGGACCAGUGUUAUUCUUUUCCACUUAGUCAUGGUAGAAAUGCUGGAUUCAAAGGCCAGCUGACAUCAUUUGGAGCUUCGUACUUGAUUGGACAGCACUGGUCUGCUUACGGUUGCCAGGUGCAAGAAAGCACCGUAUGUUUGGAUGUUCCAGGAAACAGGGCAGAUUGAGUGACUUCUAUCCAAGGAGAGAGAAACAGCCCCAUGUUUGGGAAUUUGGUGGAGAUCAAUUCCUUUGAGACAUCUUCCAAGCAUCUCAGGCCAACGUGACUUAAAACAAAUGUAAUGGACUCAGUCACAAUGUAUUCCACAGUUUCACAAAAGAAAUAAGAAUCUUCUGUGCACUGCAGAGCUCCUGAAAAUUCCUGGUAGGUCCCCAUAGAGUUAUUCUGCUCCUUCAGCUCACGUCUAAGGAGCAUAGAGUUGUUUCUGUUCAGCAAGGACAAAUUAGUGAAAAACACAUCCACUGAAACUGUCAGCAGUGAGCAGAUUUUGGUUAGGGAGAAUAUCACACAUAUGUAAAUAUCCCAGAAAGCUGCAUGCAGAGUAGCAAACAGGAUGGGAGCAAAGUUCUUUACCAAUUCUAGAUGUGUUCCCGCUGAGCAUAGCUCUGGUGGAAAAGUGCCUAUUCUCUGUGUAACAAGGAAAGGAGUAAAACUGAAAAUAUUGAACACCAGACUUCUGUUCUGAAGGGGUGAGGAGUAGUCCACUGAACUCACUCUGCACCAUGGAGCUGACAGAAAAUGUGUGUCCUUUGGUUAAAAUGUGUCCAGGACUUGGCUGAAUUCAUGGUUUGGUCUUGAGCGGAGGUCUCCUGUGAUGGAGAGGAAAAUCUGGCAUGGGGAGAGAGAUGUUGCCAGUCUUUCUCUUUGGUGGUACUGCAUUUACAAUAGGGAGAAGGUGCCCAGGUGGUUUGGAACCCUGUGAAUAGGGAUAGAGUCCAUCCAGCCCUGCACAAAGUGACACAGAUCACAAGGGACAAAGGUCUGCCAGGGCAUAAGUGGGGCCUUCCAGGCUCAGCCACAGAGGCCAGGGCACCGGGAGGGACUUCAGGCAAAAGUCUGUGCCUCUGUUGUGCCACCCUGCAGGUGUGGGGGGACUGGGGUCUUUGCACCCCUCGUCCCAUCCAUUGGAAGCUUUGGAAAUGGAUAUGCACUGCUCAGCUUUGCAGAAUCACCUCUGAAGACUAUUAGUGAAAGAGACAGAACUGCGGUAACAGUUUAUUGCAAUAUAAUGCAGCAAGAGACAAAAAUAGAAGGGGCUCAUUAUUGCGGUUCAUAAACAUAGGCAAAGCACAUGCCUGACCUUUCAUUUGUACAAUUAAUUGUUCCAGCAGAAAGAAAAUGAGUCUUAAUUGUGUGCAGCUUCCUAGAGGAUCAGCUGUGUGUGCCCCUCCGCUCUCGGGGAAAAAGGCUGUGAAGUUUUCCUGAAGGUUUCUGCUUUCCACUGCGGCAGGAAAAGAAGAAAGGAGGAUCGCUGUGUUUCUCUCUCCCACCUCUGCCCUGCCUCCCGCCUCCCAAGGAGAAUAUUGAGCUAUAGUGCUAUUUAAAUAACCUCAACAUUUUCUUCAGUCUCGUAAAACAGGCUCUUCCUCUUGCAUUUUCAGUGCUAUUUCGCGCCUAUAAUAAGGAAAUAUUGUAUAAUGCUCAAUCAAAAGCCGUUUCAGAGUUCAAGAGUCAGUCAAAAGCAGCAACUUAAACCCGCUCCUAAUUUGACUGUCAAAUCACGUUGAUAGCAGUGGGUGGUCAGAGUUCGAAACGAGACUUCCCAGCCUCUGUAUUGCUAUCCAAAUGAUGUCCGUGUACGUGGGCUUCGCAGGGCUCGGUCACCGUGUGCUCGCAGUGCCGGUACCCAGAGCCGGGCUCGGGAAUGACCCCGUGGGGGUGAGCGGGCAUCGCUCCAGGACCGGCACCGUGGCCGCGGGACGAACCCAACGCCUCUCGCCCCAAUGCCCGGGGACAGGAGGUUCCUUUGGAGGACCCCCCUUGAAGCCCUUUUAUCCCGCUCUGCCUGAGGACUGAUGUCCUCCGCACCCAUCCUGCCGGGGGGUCCCGGGGCUUAACAGCGAUCGGGCCCUUCUCAGCUCGCCCAUCAGAUCCCGCCCGCAGAGCGUGACCGUCCUAAACCGACCUCUUAUCGAUAGCGAUUUUUAAUCUCGAACUCACAAAGGAGCACAUUCUCUGUUCCUUAAUAGAGCACAACGCCCAUUGACUUCUAUCCCAUUGACUUCAAUGGGAGUUUCGCUCCAUUAAGGACUGCAGAAUUUGGCCUAAACUGACCGCAAUAAUUUUGCUGCCGGUAAUGGAGCUUCAAAGCCGUCUCUAAUUAGCCGAUGAGCAGGAAUCGUUAAACAUGCUGUACAAUUCCGCCAGCUACGCGGGGGCUGCAGAGCAGCUGAGCAGUCCCGUUCAGCCCCGGGAAAGCUCAGAAUGCGACUUCUGCGGGGACAGCCCGAGGACGGGGUGUUGGACGGGACAUUCCUGCUUCCAUAGCUGCUUUGCUAGCAUAGGAAAAGGAGAAAAGAAAGCACUAAAAAGCCAUGGCAGAUUAGAUCACGCACUGAUUUUUUUCCUUCUUCGAAGACGCCUGAAGAAGAAUCAUUGUAUGUGCCGUUGUUUCUAUUUAUCAAAGAUCAACCUAAUUAGUUUUGUUUAUCCGUAACCCGGAGCACUCCUAACGAGUUACGCAGAAUCCCACAGUGCCUCCGAGCCGCACUUUGUGCUGCGCUCAUCUCCGCUGCGACCUGGCACCUUCCCGUCCAGCAGGAGCGAACUCCGUCCCCUUGAGCCGAACUCGCCUGUAAGGGCACUUCCAUUGCACGCCGUUCGUGGGCACAGCCUCCUUCCCGAAUCUCGCAGCUGUACAUACAGCAGCGUGCAGAAAUGUCUCGCAAAGACCGUGAUUUAAUAGCCGAGCUCUUAAGCGCUUACAAACCUAUAUUUCUCCAGUGUGUCUGUUACCUGUGAAUUUGAAUUUGGAAAACAACAUUUUCCUUU
This 3407-nucleotide long non-coding RNA is filed under the name Gallus gallus (chicken). Its description in RNAcentral is "lncRNA (ENSGALG00010005117.1)". Lineage: Eukaryota; Metazoa; Chordata; Aves; Galliformes; Phasianidae. The record is from RNAcentral.